AGAAGUCCACAAGUGUGUACAUACUAGUUGCCUAGGCGUUCCUGGGCGAUUAUGCUUUUUUUCAAUUGUUAAGUGUAAUUCGAUGUUACAUAGUAAAACUUGGCACAUUAAAAGAAUUAACUUGGUAUCAUCAUGCAUCCAUGAGCUCUAUGACCAUAGCUCGUCUUCCUUUUAUCUCUGGUGUGUGCUGAAUUCAUACAUAGAUCAAACCCCAAGCCACCCUUAGCGAAAUAACGCCUAGGUGCUAGGUGAGGGGAGGUGAUGAGUGUCUAGGUGCAACCGACGUCUAUGACGGCUUUUUGAGGCAGAGGAUGUUGAUGGUGAUGUUUCAAGUUUCAACAGUUCAUCUCGUUCUGCAUUCACUCACCAUGGCAGAUAGCCAGAAUUACUGUUUCUAGCCUUCUACUGGCAGAUUGCAAGUAGCAAGCUUGCUGCAGAUUCUUCGCAGGCCAAGGCUCAAGUUACUGAUGCAGUUUUGUUCAGGCAUGUUCGAUAAAUGUUUGUUCACUCAUCAUGGCAGUCCAAGCCUCAAGUUAUAUCCCCAUAGGCAUAGGAGUCCAGCUUCCAGGUGUUCCAUUUUCAGCUUUCAAGUUCAUCUUAUUCUGCAUUGAGUCACCAUGGUAGAUUACCAGAAUAUUGUUUCCGAACUUCUGGCAUAUCUCUUGAUGUUGUCGGAUUCCAUUCAUGAUCCAGGUCAUGGUGAACUUGAUGUUUUCGGACUCAGGUCAUGAGUUCAGACUAUUCAGCACGGAUCGUACAGCCCCUUUGCAUGCCUUGCUGAGUCUUGGCAGGCCAUAGCUGAAGUUACUGGAUACUGAUGUGGCUUUGUUCAGGCAUGAACUGCACGGACCUUGG
RNAcentral lists this long non-coding RNA (855 nucleotides) under Setaria italica (foxtail millet). Its description in RNAcentral is "long non-coding RNA (SITA_LNC003791)". The record is from RNAcentral. Lineage: Eukaryota; Viridiplantae; Streptophyta; Magnoliopsida; Poales; Poaceae.